Molecule: ribosomal RNA, 234 nt
Filed under: Clostridioides difficile
Lineage: Bacteria; Bacillati; Bacillota; Clostridia; Peptostreptococcales; Peptostreptococcaceae
Description: partial 23S ribosomal RNA
Rfam family: Bacterial large subunit ribosomal RNA
Source: RNAcentral
GAAAUUGUAAUUCCGGUGAAGAUGCCGGAUACCUGCGACAGGACGGAAAGACCCCAUGGAGCUUUACUGUAGCUUGACAUUGGGUCUUGGUACUACAUGUACAGGAUAGGUGGGAGGCUUUGAAACCAGGACGCCAGUUUUGGCGGAGCCAUCCUUGGGAUACCACCCUUGUAGUACUGGGACUCUAACCAUAGGCCAUGAAUCUGGUCUUGGGACACUGUCAGGUGGGCAGUU